AAAGUCGUAACAAGGUAACCGUAGGUGAACCUGCGGUUGGAUCAUUAAAAAAUCUAGAAGGUCUUCAAGACCUUUCUAACAUCUUGUGAAACGUUUAAUGUCUCUGGCAGAUUCUGUCUGCCGAAUAAACUUUGUAUUAAUUUUGGUCUAAAACAUAUAAAAAAGUAAUUAAAACAACUUUUGACAACGGAUCUCUAGGCUCUC
RNAcentral lists this unclassified non-coding RNA (204 nucleotides) under Chytridiomycota sp. Its description in RNAcentral is "partial contains small subunit ribosomal RNA, internal transcribed spacer 1, and 5.8S ribosomal RNA". The stretch from base 1 to 47 matches the Rfam family "Eukaryotic small subunit ribosomal RNA", at positions 1785 to 1831 of the family's 1831-position model. The record is from RNAcentral. Lineage: Eukaryota; Fungi; Chytridiomycota.